CCUACGGGCGGCAGCAGUGAGGAAUAUUGGUCAAUGGACGCAAGUCUGAACCAGCCAUGCCGCGUGCAGGAAGACGGCUCUAUGAGUUGUAAACUGCUUUUGUACGAGGGUAAACGCAGAUACGUGUAUCUGUCUGAAAGUAUCGUACGAAUAAGGAUCGGCUAACUCCGCGCCAGCAGCCGCGGUAAUACGGAGGAUUUAAGCGUUAGCCGGAUUUAUUGGGUUUAAAGGGUGCGUAGUCGGUCGGAUAGGUUAGAGGUAAAAGCCCGAGGUUAAACUUAGGAAUUGCCUCUGAUACUGUUGGGCUAGGGAGUAGUUGCGGUAGGCGGAAUGUAUGGUGUAGCGGUGAAAUGCUUAGAGAUCAUACAGAGCACCGAUUGCGAAGGCAGCUUACCAAGCUACUUCUGACGUUGAGGCACGAAAGCGUGGGGAGCAAACAGGAUUAGAUACCCGGGUAGU
RNAcentral lists this ribosomal RNA (459 nucleotides) under uncultured bacterium. RNAcentral's name for it is "partial 16S ribosomal RNA". It matches the Rfam family "Bacterial small subunit ribosomal RNA", at positions 338 to 794 of the family's 1533-position model. The record is from RNAcentral.